GGAGAAAUCCGGAUUAAUACCGCAUACGCCCUACGGGGGAAAACAGGGGAUCUUCGGACCUUGUGCAAUUGGAUGAGCCUGCGUUAGAUUAGCUAGUUGGUGGGGUAAAGGCCUACCAAGGCGACGAUCUAUAGCUGGUCUGAGAGGAUGAUCAGCCACAUCGGGACUGAGACACGGCCCGGACUCCUACGGGAGGCAGCAGUGGGGAAUAUUGGACAAUGGGCGCAAGCCUGAUCCAGCAAUGCCGCGUGUGUGAAGAAGGCCUUCGGGUUGUAAAGCACUUUCAAUUGUGAAGAAGGGGUUCGUGUUAAUAGCACGGAUCUUUGACGUUAACUUUAGAAGAAGCACCGGCUAACUCCGUGCCAGCAGCCGCGGUAAUACGGAGGGUGCAAGCGUUAAUCGGAAUUACUGGGCGUAAAGCGCGCGUAGGCGGUUGUUUAAGUCAGAUGUGAAAGCCCCGGGCUCAACCUGGGAAUGGCCUCUGAUACUGGAUAACUAGAGUUUGGGAGAGGGGAGUAGAAUUUCAGGUGUAGCGGUGAAAUGCAUAGAUAUCUGAAGGAAUACCAGUGGCGAAGGCGACUCCCUGGCCUAAAACUGACGCUGAGGUGCGAAAGCGUGGGUAGCAAACAGGAUUAGAUACCCUGGUAGUCCACGCUGUAAACGAUGUCAACUAGCCGUUGGGACUCUUGAAGUCUUAG
RNAcentral lists this ribosomal RNA (698 nucleotides) under uncultured bacterium. Its description in RNAcentral is "bacterial SSU rRNA". It matches the Rfam family "Bacterial small subunit ribosomal RNA", at positions 150 to 843 of the family's 1533-position model. The record is from RNAcentral.